This 369-nucleotide ribosomal RNA is filed under the name uncultured bacterium. Its description in RNAcentral is "bacterial SSU rRNA". It matches the Rfam family "Bacterial small subunit ribosomal RNA", at positions 917 to 1289 of the family's 1533-position model. The record is from RNAcentral.
GGGCCCGCACAAGCGGUGGAGCAUGUGGUUUAAUUCGAUGAUACGCGAGGAACCUUACCAGGGCUUAAAUGUAGUCUGACAGGGGUGGAAACACCCCCUCCUUCGGGCAGAUUACAAGGUGCUGCAUGGUUGUCGUCAGCUCGUGCCAUGAGGUGUCAGGUUAAGUCCUAUAACGAGCGCAACCCCUGCCGUUAGUUGCCAGCAUGUAAUGAUGGGAACUCUAACGGGACUGCCGGUGCAAACCGCGAGGAAGGUGGGGAUGACGUCAAAUCAUCACGGCCCUUACGUCCUGGGCUACACACGUGCUACAAUGGCCGGUACAGAGGGCAGCCACACCGCAAGGUGGAGCGAAUCCUUAAAACCGGUCUC